RNAcentral lists this ribosomal RNA (782 nucleotides) under uncultured Neocallimastigales. Its description in RNAcentral is "partial large subunit ribosomal RNA". It matches the Rfam family "Eukaryotic large subunit ribosomal RNA", at positions 24 to 633 of the family's 3401-position model. Lineage: Eukaryota; Fungi; Neocallimastigomycota; Neocallimastigomycetes; Neocallimastigales. The record is from RNAcentral.
UAUCUCUGUAGAGUCUGCAUAUCAAUAAGCGGAGGAAAAGAAACUAACUAGGAUUCCCUCAGUAACGGCGAGUGAAGCGGGAAGAGCUCAAAUUUGAAAUCUUCAAGGUUCUACCUUGACGAAUUGUAGUUUAAAGAAGUGUUUUCUGUUGGAGUUUUGGUAAAAGUUCUUUGGAAUAGGACAUCAUAGAGGGUGAGAAUCCCGUAUUUGACCAUUACUUCCAGCUUUGUGAUACACUUUCAAAGAGUCGGAUUGUUUGGGAAUGCAGUCCAAAAUGGGUGGUAAAUUUCAUCUAAAGCUAAAUAUUGGCGAGAGACCGAUAGCGAACAAGUACCGUGAGGGAAAGAUGAAAAGGAACUUUGAAUAGAGAGUUAAACAGUACGUGAAAUUGUCAAAAGGGAAGCGUUUGACACCAGUGUUGUUUUCUCGAAAAUCAAUUAAAAAAGGCUAGGAUUUUGUAUUGUAAUUGACCUUUAUCAGCUUUACUGCUACUCUUUUCUUGUCUUUUUUAAUGCACUUUUCGUUUAACAAGUCAACAUCAAUUUCUUUUGUUGUAAAAGAGGUCAUUGGAAGGUGGCUUUCACUUUCGGUGAAAGUGUUUAUAGCCUUUGGCCUCUGCAAUCGGAGAGAUUGAGGUCUGCAGCGUAGAUCCUUCGGGGCUAGAUACGUAGAUGCUAAGUUAUAGUUUUUUAUAGACAACUUGUUGACUAUAAUUAAUCAUGUAGCUUACUCGUUUGCGCUAUUUUACCUACGCUUAGGAUGUUGACGAUCAGCUGAGCGCG